Molecule: non-coding RNA, 80 nt
Filed under: Astrosyne radiata
Lineage: Eukaryota; Bacillariophyta; Fragilariophyceae; Cyclophorales; Cyclophoraceae
Source: RNAcentral
UCUAUGUAAAAGCAAAACGCGUGCGUGUGUGUCAUCGUCGUCGUCGUCGUCCAUAUGGUCAAUCAAAAGCAGGGUUUCCA